AUUUUUUGUUGUCUCUUCAAUGGUCGUUUCUUGUACAUGAAAGUGAUUUCUUGUGUUAUAAGUAUUCUUGCUAUACCCACAUCAAGUUUUAUUGUGAAAUAAAUUCUCCAAUGAGAAAAACACCUAGUUGCAAUCCUUGAGUAAGUGUAUGAGUAGGUAUUUUAAGGAACACGUUCUAGCUUUAAUGGUAACCUGGACCCUUAAAAAUCUUCAGAGUAAAAGUAGUAUAAGUUUGUGUGGGAAUAAUUCUAAUGUGAUGAAAUGUGUAAACCGAAAUGGGGCGGAAGGAUAUCACCUCACGUGGAAGAAAGGAUACCCUCUCACUGACUUCCUAAAUGUGGUGAUGACUUCUCAAACAAAUUGUGCUUGAAUUAAACCCUCUAAAAAGAGGAACUUCCUAAGUGAAGUAAACAAGUUGUAGCACUACUUAGGGUGAUCAUAGAAACUUGGAGGAAAGGAUACCCCCUCACGGACUUCCAAUGUGAAAUGAUAGCCCCUAGGCAUCUACAAGCCCCCAAAUGUAUAAAUUCAUCAAGUCUAUCUUAACUCUCCCACUUCUCUUAUAUGAAAUGAAGAAAAGAUUUUUCUCGGUCAUUUUAGUGUUAAGGUUAGAACCUGUUCCUCAUAAUAUCUAUCUUAUACAGGAGCAAGAAAAGGGUUGGACUACACACACAUACACUCACUUAAGAUUUGUUGUUGGGUUGAAUAAGUUUACAAAGAAUACUUGAAGUUGUGAUUAGUGUACAUUGAAAGGAAACCUCAAGGGAGACAUAAGCUUUUAUUUUGUUUGUUUUGUGUUGUUUUAUUUUGUUUUGUAGGUAUUUGUCCAAAUAUGAUGCAAAAAAGUGAAGAAAAAAAAAAUUGAAGCCAUUGACCAGAAACCCACCCAAAAAAAAAUAAAAAAAAAAUUCUUCCCUCUUUUUCCAGAGAGUUGGCACGGCCCGUGCCUGUGUUGGCACGGCCGUGCCAACCCAUCAGCAAAAAAAAAAAAUUUAUUUUUUUUAUUUUUUUAUUUUUUCUUCCUUAUCCAAAUCAAAUAACAUCUAUAACCCUUCUUCCGUAAUUCUCUCCAAACUUCACCAACAUCCAUCCACCCACAACCAAACCAAGCUAAGGUCAAUGGCAUCAAAAAGGAAAGGUGAGGAUAUUGAAGCCUCCGGAAGUGGUGCAAGCAAGAAGCAAUCAACAACCCGCAAUCAUGGGAUCCAAUUCAAGGAUUCCGAGCAAAGAAAUAGGUAUAAAUCUCUAAUCUCUAGAACUAUCUCUCCUUGCAGGUACCUUGAUGUUAAUGCUAUGGAUAGACUAGAAAUAGAUGAACAUAUGAUUCGGCUGUUGAAUAAAUUCACAACCUUGUGCUUAGGUACCUUCACACGGUUAUUGCUUGCACCAUAUGGGGUAGAAAAGAGGUAGGAAUGAUGAGGAAUGUUGAGCUAUUUUUGUUGUGGGCUAUGCUUUAUAACCACCAUGUUAACAUUUACUAUUAUUUGAUUUAUUAUCCUGUUUCAAUUGCUAGAAAGAAACUGGAUAUAAAGGUGAUAUAGUGGUAGGUGGAAUCAUCACUUUCAUUGUUAGAAAAUUUGAGGUAAAUGUGAAUAAAGGGAUAAAUAGGAUUGAGGGAAACUACUAUCUAGACUUAGAAACCCUCACUACCAUGUUUUUUUUAGAAUUCAUGGCCCUUCUCACAAUUACCAAUAUGAGUGGAGAGUCAAUACUACUAAUUUCUUGAUUAUUCUACCUAAUUCAGAUAUUACUAAUUCGGAGGUGGUAGAAAACUAGGUUUGUGUUGGCACUAACCCACAGGUACACAAUGAUGGUGAUGAAGAGGAGGUAGGUGCAAAAUUGCACCAUUAACAAGAAGCCGGUGGAAACUAUAAUGAUGAACGGUGGGCAUGGAUGCAAACCAAAGUUCAAAGAACAUGCACCGAGCAAUAAAGACAAGGUGUUAAAAUGAUCGGGCUAAGAAAUGAUGUCCUAAGGGGCACUCAAAUAAAUGAAUAAAACAAUCAAAUGUUCCGAUACAUGAUGCAACACCUUCACCUCCAAGGUCCACCUUAUGGACUUCAAUAAAAUUGUGAGCUCUCCUCUUCCUUUACUCUUCUCUACUUCUCUUCUUUCUUCAUCCUCUUCUUCUUUUUCUUCUUCUUCUUUUAAAUCAUUGAGGACAAUGCUUCUCCUAAGUGUGGGGGGAGCCUAAUAAAGUGUCUUUAGUCGUACUGUUUCCAAACUCCCUUGAACUUUAUUCUUUUGUUGUGUUUUAUUGUAAAAGGCAUGAAUAAGCAGCUCGUUUUUAUUGUUUUAUUAUGACAUAAUUUUUUGUUGUCUCUUCAAUGGUCAUUUCUUGUACAUGAAAAUGAUUUCUUGUGUUAUAAGUAUUCUUGCUAUACCCACAUCAAGUUUUAUUGUGAAAUAAAUUCUCCAAUGAGAAAAACACCUAGUUGCAAUCCUUGAGUAAGUGUAUGAGUAGGUAUUUUAAGGAACACGUUCUAGCUUUAAUGGUAACCUGGACCCUUAAAAAUCUUCAGAGUAAAAGUAGUAUAAGUUUGUGUGGGAAUAAUUCUAAUGUGAUGAAAUGUGUAAACCGAAAUGGGGCGGAAGGAUAUCACCUCACGUGGAAGAAAGGAUACCCUCUCACUGACUUCCUAAAUGUGGUGAUGACUUCUCAAACAAAUUGUGCUUGAAUUAAACCCUCUAAAAAGAGGAACUUCCUAAGUGAAGUAAACAAGUUGUAGCACUACUUAGGGUGAUCAUAGAAACUUGGAGGAAAGGAUACCCCCUCACGGACUUCCAAUGUGAAAUGAUAGCCCCUAGGCAUCUACAAGCCCCCAAAUGUAUAAAUUCAUCAAGUCUAUCUUAACUCUCCCACUUCUCUUAUAUGAAAUGAAGAAAAGAUUUUUCUCGGUCAUUUUAGUGUUAAGGUUAGAACCUGUUCCUCAUAAUAUCUAUCUUAUACAGGAGCAAGAAAAGGGUUGGACUACAC
This 2977-nucleotide long non-coding RNA is filed under the name Medicago truncatula (barrel medic). RNAcentral describes it as "long non-coding RNA (MTRU_LNC000617)". The record is from RNAcentral. Lineage: Eukaryota; Viridiplantae; Streptophyta; Magnoliopsida; Fabales; Fabaceae.